Molecule: long non-coding RNA, 358 nt
Filed under: Musa acuminata (dwarf banana)
Lineage: Eukaryota; Viridiplantae; Streptophyta; Magnoliopsida; Zingiberales; Musaceae
Description: long non-coding RNA (MACU_LNC001922)
Source: RNAcentral
CUCCGUCCGAUAACGCUCCUGCCUGUGUUCUCUCUGUCAAGGAGUGCAAAAGCUUCGGUCACAGCGGAGUCCGGGGCAUCACAAGGGAAGAAGCCCACAGCCAAAGUAGCAGUCGUAGCUGGUCUAAAAAUAUGUCCCCAACAUGAAGAAAGGUCAGAAGAAGAGAAAGCCCCAUCAAUAUCCAUAAUAUAAUUGAAAUUAAAAAUAUUACAUUAAUGAGAGAGAUCCAAACUCUUCACUAACCCAUUGACGGAGGGAAAUGAAUCAUUCAAUACGAAUGACGUUUCACCAUCGUCGGAAAGCUACUGUGGGAACUUAGACUUGCGCCUGAGCUGGCUUCCAGACCAAAAGCCCUACU